GAUGAACGCUAGCUACAGGCUUAACACAUGCAAGUCGAGGGGAAACGACAUCGAAAGCUUGCUUUUGGUGGGCGUCGACCGGCGCACGGGUGAGUAACGCGUAUCCAACCUGCCCACCACUUGGGGAUAACCUUGCGAAAGUAAGACUAAUACCCAAUGAUAUCCCACGAAGGCAUCGGAAUGGGAUUAAAGAUUUAUCGGUGAUGGAUGGGGAUGCGUCUGAUUAGCUUGUUGGCGGGGUAACGGCCCACCAAGGCAACGAUCAGUAGGGGUUCUGAGAGGAAGGUCCCCCACAUUGGAACUGAGACACGGUCCAAACUCCUACGGGAGGCAGCAGUGAGGAAUAUUGGUCAAUGGGGCGAGAGCCUGAACCAGCCAAGUAGCGUGCAGGACGACGGCCCUAUGGGUUGUAAACUGCUUUUAUAAGGGAAUAAAGUAGGGUCACGUGUGACUUUUUGCAUGUACCUUAUGAAUAAGGACCGGCGUAAUUCCGUG
This 495-nucleotide ribosomal RNA is filed under the name uncultured bacterium. RNAcentral's name for it is "bacterial SSU rRNA". It matches the Rfam family "Bacterial small subunit ribosomal RNA", at positions 28 to 507 of the family's 1533-position model. The record is from RNAcentral.